GGGCCCGUAGCUCAGCCUGGCUGGAGCGUCCGGCUGAUAACCGGAAGGUCCUGGGUUCAAGUCCCAGCGGGCCCA
RNAcentral lists this transfer RNA (75 nucleotides) under Nitrososphaeria archaeon. Its description in RNAcentral is "tRNA-Ile". It matches the Rfam family "tRNA". From Rfam's summary of the family: Transfer RNA (tRNA) molecules are approximately 80 nucleotides in length. Their secondary structure includes four short double-helical elements and three loops (D, anti-codon, and T loops). Lineage: Archaea; Thermoproteati; Nitrososphaerota; Nitrososphaeria. The record is from RNAcentral.